AAAGCUCGUAGUUGAACCUUGGGCCUGGCCGGCCGGUCCGCCUCACCGCGUGUACUGGCUCGGCCGGGCCUUUCCCUCUGUGGAACCCCAUGCCCUUCACUGGGCGUGGCGGGGAAACAGGACUUUUACUGUGAAAAAAUUAGAGUGCUCCAGGCAGGCCUAUGCUCGAAUACAUUAGCAUGGAAUAAUAGAAUAGGACGUGUGGUUCUAUUUUGUUGGUUUCUAGGACCGCCGUAAUGAUUAAUAGGGACAGUCGGGGGCAUCAGUAUUCAAUUGUCAGAGGUGAAAUUCUUGGAUUUAUUGAAGACUAACUACUGCGAAAGCAUUUGCCAAGGAUGUUUUCAUUAAUCAGGAACGAAAGUUAGGGGAUCGAAGACGAUCAGAUACCGUCGUAGUCUUAACCAUAAACUAUGCCGACUAGGGAUCGGACGGUGUUAUUUUUUGACCCGUUCGGCACCUUA
This 461-nucleotide ribosomal RNA is filed under the name uncultured fungus. RNAcentral describes it as "SSU rRNA". It matches the Rfam family "Eukaryotic small subunit ribosomal RNA", at positions 623 to 1090 of the family's 1831-position model. The record is from RNAcentral. Lineage: Eukaryota; Fungi.